Molecule: ribosomal RNA, 794 nt
Filed under: Piromyces sp. 7 GRL-8
Lineage: Eukaryota; Fungi; Neocallimastigomycota; Neocallimastigomycetes; Neocallimastigales; Neocallimastigaceae
Description: LSU rRNA
Rfam family: Eukaryotic large subunit ribosomal RNA
Source: RNAcentral
CUGUGCAUAANCAAAAUGCGUAGGAAAAGAAACUAACAAGGAUUCCCUUAGUAACGGCGAGUGAAGCGGGAAGAGCUCAAAUUUGAAAUCUUCAAGGUUUUACCUUGACGAAUUGUAGUUUAAAGAAGUGUUUUCUGUUGAAGUUUUGGUAAAAGUUCUUUGGAAUAGGACAUCAUAGAGGGUGAGAAUCCCGUAUUUGACCAUUAUUUUCAGCUGUGUGAUACACUUUCAAAGAGUCGGAUUGUUUGGGAAUGCAGUCCAAAAUGGGUGGUAAAUUUCAUCUAAAGCUAAAUAUUGGCGAGAGACCGAUAGCGAACAAGUACCGUGAGGGAAAGAUGAAAAGAACUUUGAAAAGAGAGUUAAACAGUACGUGAAAUUGUCAAAAGGGAAGCGUUUGACACCAGUGUUGUUUUCUCGAAAAUCAAUUAAAAAGAGUUGGAUUUUGUGUUGUAUUGACCUUAACAGCUUGCUUCACUCUUUUCCUGCUUUUUUUAAUGCACUUUUCGUUUAACAAGUCAACAUCAGUUUCUUUUGUUGUAAAAGGGUCAUUGGAAGGUGGCUUUCUCUUCGGAGAAAGUGUUUAUAGCCUUUGAUCUCUGCAAUCGGAGAGACUGAGGUCUGCAGCGUAGAUCCUUCGGGGUUAGAUACAUUUGUGCUAAGCUACAGCUUUUCAUAGACAACUUGUUGACUAUGUUUAGUCUUGUGACUUACCCGCUUAUGCUAUUUUACCUACGCUUAGGAUGUUGACAAAAUGGUUUUAAACGACCCGUCUUACAAAAAAGAGACACACAAAA